GAUGAACGCUGGCGGCGUGCCUAAUACAUGCAAGUCGAGCGAACAGACGAGGAGCUUGCUCCUUUGACGUUAGCGGCGGACGGGUGAGUAACACGUGGGUAACCUACCUAUAAGACUGGGAUAACUUCGGGAAACCGGAGCUAAUACCGGAUAAUAUUUCGAACCGCAUGGUUCGAUAGUGAAAGAUGGCUUUGCUAUCACUUAUAGAUGGACCUGCGCCGUAUUAGCUAGUUGGUAAGGUAACGGCUUACCAAGGCAACGAUACGUAGCCGACCUGAGAGGGUGAUCGGCCACACUGGAACUGAGACACGGUCCAGACUCCUACGGGAGGCAGCAGUAGGGAAUCUUCCGCAAUGGGCGAAAGCCUGACGGAGCAACGCCGCGUGAGUGAUGAAGGUCUUCGGAUCGUAAAACUCUGUUAUUAGGGAAGAACAAACGUGUAAGUAACUGUGCACGUCUUGACGGUACCUAAUCAGAAAGCCACGGCUAACUACGUGCCAGCAGCCGCGGUAAUACGUAGGUGGCAAGCGUUAUCCGGAAUUAUUGGGCGUAAAGCGCGCGUAGGCGGUUUUUUAAGUCUGAUGUGAAAGCCCACGGCUCAACCGUGGAGGGUCAUUGGAAACUGGAAAACUUGAGUGCAGAAGAGGAAAGUGGAAUUCCAUGUGUAGCGGUGAAAUGCGCAGAGAUAUGGAGGAACACCAGUGGCGAAGGCGACUUUCUGGUCUGUAACUGACGCUGAUGUGCGAAAGCGUGGGGAUCAAACAGGAUUAGAUACCCUGGUAGUCCACGCCGUAAACGAUGAGUGCUAAGUGUUAGGGGGUUUCCGCCCCUUAGUGCUGCAGCUAACGCAUUAAGCACUCCGCCUGGGGAGUACGACCGCAAGGUUGAAACUCAAAGGAAUUGACGGGGACCCGCACAAGCGGUGGAGCAUGUGGUUUAACUCGAAGCAACGCGAAGAACCUUACCAAAUCUUGACAUCCUUUGACCCUUCUAGAGAUAGAAGUUUCCCCUUCGGGGGACAAAGUGACAGGUGGUGCAUGGUUGUCGUCAGCUCGUGUCGUGAGAUGUUGGGUUAAGUCCCGCAACGAGCGCAACCCUUAAGCUUAGUUGCCAUCAUUAAGUUGGGCACUCUAAGUUGACUGCCGGUGACAAACCGGAGGAAGGUGGGGAUGACGUCAAAUCAUCAUGCCCCUUAUGAUUUGGGCUACACACGUGCUACAAUGGACAAUACAAAGGGCAGCGAAACCGCGAGGUCAAGCAAAUCCCAUAAAGUUGUUCUCAGUUCGGAUUGUAGUCUGCAACUCGACUACAUGAAGCUGGAAUCGCUAGUAAUCGUAGAUCAGCAUGCUACGGUGAAUACGUUCCCGGGUCU
Molecule: ribosomal RNA, 1372 nt
Filed under: uncultured bacterium
Lineage: Bacteria
Description: bacterial SSU rRNA
Rfam family: Bacterial small subunit ribosomal RNA
Source: RNAcentral